This 310-nucleotide ribosomal RNA is filed under the name uncultured bacterium. Its description in RNAcentral is "bacterial SSU rRNA". It matches the Rfam family "Bacterial small subunit ribosomal RNA", at positions 94 to 407 of the family's 1533-position model. The record is from RNAcentral.
AGCGGCGGACGGGUGAGUAAUGCCUAGGAAUCUGCCUGGUAGUGGGGGACAACGUUUCGAAAGGAACGCUAAUACCGCAUACGUCCUACGGGAGAAAGCAGGGGACCUUCGGGCCUUGCGCUAUCAGAUGAGCCUAGGUCGGAUUAGCUAGUUGGUGGGGUAAUAGCCUACCGAGGCAAUGAUCAGUAGCUGGUCUGAGAGGACAAUCAGCCACACUGGGACUGAGACACGGCCCAGACUCCUACAGGAGGCAGCAGUGAGGAAUUUUCCGCAAUGGGCGAAAGCCUGACGGAGCAAUGCCGCGUGGAGG